UGAAAAGAAAGGCAAAGUGGUGCAGUAUCCUAGUCAGAGGCGCUAAUCCCGAAGACGGGCCUAAAAAUCCGUCAAGGGCACAUCGAUGAAGUUCCUGGUGCUGGCUUUCAACGCCCAGUUGGGGGCUGGUGCUGGGAGUUAAGGAGGGGGGGCGAUCCACAAUGGCAUGUGGGCGUUGACCCUUCCUCCGCGGAGACCUACUUGCGUGGCUUUUACAGGCUACGGGGUAGGAUGAACCUGUCUCGCGGCCAUAAAGCUGCGGACAGUGUAGCCUGCCUUGAGUGAUUCGGGUGGAUAUCAGUUGUAAGCCAUAAUUCAAAGAGCUCUUGAAUUACUGGCUAUUGCUGAUGAAACCCGAAUUGCAAAAGAGGAUAGGGGUUAGUCCCUCUGUUGAGGAAAACUCCUAGGCUGCGCCUUGCCGGGCGGCAUAUUGGGGAUUACGGUGCGGACUAAGUGGUAGUCCAGUCUUACCUUUGGCGACAAGGUAAAAGCGGGCUUAAAGGGGAACCGCUGAACGGCGACGUUCAGUGCACGCUUGGGAAAUCCUACUGGACCUAAGCCGCAAAGUUUACCCAAUAUGCUACCACUUUGCCUUUAUACAUG
Molecule: non-coding RNA, 603 nt
Organism: Thermoanaerobacter pseudethanolicus ATCC 33223
Lineage: Bacteria; Bacillati; Bacillota; Clostridia; Thermoanaerobacterales; Thermoanaerobacteraceae
Source: Rfam